AACAGACACUUCCUGUACAGGGGAGGGGGGAGGGGGCCAGGCAGCCGUUAGACAGCACAACCGAACCCAACACCGGGGCCCAACGGCAGGGGCUUGGGCAGGAGCAAGGUCCGAGGGCUGCCAGGUCCACGCUGCUUUUAUGAGCUGUAACACUCACCGCGAAGAUCUGCAGCUUCACUCCUGAGCCCAGCGAGACCACGAGCCCACCGGGAGGAACAAACAACUCCAGACGCGCUGCCUUAAGAGCUGUAACACUUGCCGUGAAGGUCUGCAGCUUCACUCCUGAGCCAGCGAGACCACGAACCCACCAGAAGGAAGAAACUCCGAACACAUCUCAACAUCAGAACGGACAGACUCCAGACGCACCACCUUAAGAGCUGUAACACUCACCGCGAGGUUCCGCGGCUUCAUUCUUGAAGUUCGUGAGCCACACAUCUCCCCACACCAAGCUCCUCCAUACAAGACCUCGGACUGCAUCACGUAAAUGCUUUUUCAGGGGCAAAAUCUAGAGAAUCUGAAACGAGCUAUCAGCUUCCCAGUUUGCACAAUUCAUCAAGAAAUUAUGCGGGGUCACUGGCACAAAUGAUGAGGCAUCUCCUGGAAGCUUAACUUCUUAUCCAUCCCAUCUCUUGGACAGAUGAUGCCAGUUAAUUACUUUGAAUCCAGGUGCUCACCUUCUAGCACAUUCUUCAAGAGUUACUCUGAGGCAAGCCAGCCGCCAUGUCAUGAGGACACUCAAGCAGCACCAUGGAGAGGUCCGAUGGCGAGGAACAGAGGAUCCCCCUGCCGACAGCCAAUGAGGAACAGGCCUCCUGCCAACAGCCGUGUAAGGGGUCACCUUGGAAGCCAAUGGCCCCUCCCUGGUCAGGCUUUUACAUGACUGCAGUCCUGGCCAACAUCCUGACGGCAACCUCAUGAGAGACCUUGAGCCAGAGCCACCCACCUAAGCUGCUUAUAGGUUCCUGGCCCUCAGAAAUCACAUGAGAUCAUAAAUGUUUGCUCAAUUUGAGAUAUUUGUGAUGUAGCAAUAAAUAACAAACACACUUACCUUUCAGGGUUAUUAUGAGAAUUAAGAGUUAAUACACAUCAAACUACAACCAAACUUGCUGGGACCAGAGGCUCAAGAAAGGGCAGACAGGGCCGGGUGCAGUGGCUCAUGCCUGUAAUCCCAAUACUUUGGGAGGCCGAGGCAGGUGGAUCAUCUGAGGUCAGGAGUUCGAGACCAGCUGGCCAACAUGGUGAAACCCUGUGUCUACUAAAAAUACAAAAAUUAGCCAGGCAUGGUGGCGGACACCUGUAAUCCCAGCUACUCG
Molecule: long non-coding RNA, 1313 nt
Filed under: Homo sapiens (human)
Lineage: Eukaryota; Metazoa; Chordata; Mammalia; Primates; Hominidae
Description: PREDICTED lncRNA (TCONS_00119278)
Source: RNAcentral